Molecule: ribosomal RNA, 620 nt
Filed under: Streptomyces lannensis
Lineage: Bacteria; Bacillati; Actinomycetota; Actinomycetes; Kitasatosporales; Streptomycetaceae
Description: bacterial SSU rRNA
Rfam family: Bacterial small subunit ribosomal RNA
Source: RNAcentral
GCGACGCUCCAGGCGACGACGGGUAGCCGGCCUGAGAGGGCGACCGGCCACACUGGGACUGAGACACGGCCCAGACUCCUACGGGAGGCAGCAGUGGGGAAUAUUGCACAAUGGGCGAAAGCCUGAUGCAGCGACGCCGCGUGAGGGAUGACGGCCUUCGGGUUGUAAACCUCUUUCAGCAGGGAAGAAGCGAAAGUGACGGUACCUGCAGAAGAAGCGCCGGCUAACUACGUGCCAGCAGCCGCGGUAAUACGUAGGGCGCAAGCGUUGUCCGGAAUUAUUGGGCGUAAAGAGCUCGUAGGCGGCUUGUCGCGUCGAUUGUGAAAGCCCGGGGCUUAACUCCGGGUCUGCAGUCGAUACGGGCAGGCUAGAGUGUGGUAGGGGAGAUCGGAAUUCCUGGUGUAGCGGUGAAAUGCGCAGAUAUCAGGAGGAACACCGGUGGCGAAGGCGGAUCUCUGGGCCAUUACUGACGCUGAGGAGCGAAAGCGUGGGGAGCGAACAGGAUUAGAUACCCUGGUAGUCCACGCCGUAAACGGUGGGCACUAGGUGUUGGCGACAUUCCACGUCGUCGGUGCCGCAGCUAACGCAUUAAGUGCCCCGGGGGGGAGGAGAAACGGGGG